This 299-nucleotide unclassified non-coding RNA is filed under the name plant metagenome. Its description in RNAcentral is "partial contains 5.8S ribosomal RNA, internal transcribed spacer 2, and large subunit ribosomal RNA". The stretch from base 1 to 105 matches the Rfam family "5.8S ribosomal RNA", at positions 50 to 154 of the family's 154-position model. The record is from RNAcentral.
GAAAUGCGAUAAGUAAUGUGAAUUGCAGAAUUCAGUGACUCAUCGAAUCUUUGAACGCACAUUGCGCCCCCUGGUAUUCCGGGGGGCAUGCCUGUUCGAGCGUCAUUUCACCACUCAAGCCUCGCUUGGUAUUGGGCGACGCGGUCCGCCGCGCGCCUCAAAUCGACCGGCUGGGUCUUCUGUCCCCUCAGCGUUGUGGAAACUAUUCGCUAAAGGGUGCCACGGGAGGCCACGCCGCAAAACAAACCCAUUUCUAAGGUUGACCUCGGAUCAGGUAGGGAUACCCGCUGAACUUAAGC